Molecule: ribosomal RNA, 497 nt
Filed under: uncultured bacterium
Lineage: Bacteria
Description: bacterial SSU rRNA
Rfam family: Bacterial small subunit ribosomal RNA
Source: RNAcentral
UAGUCCACGCCGUAAACGAUGAGCACUAGUUAUUAGAGGUAUUGACCCCUUUAGUGACGUAGCUAACGCAUUAAGUGCUCCGCCUGGGGAGUACGGUCGCAAGACUAAAACUCAAAGGAAUUGACGGGGGCCCGCACAAGCGGUGGAUUAUGUGGUUUAAUUCGAAGCAACGCGAAUAACCUUACCUAGACUUGAAAUCCUGUGAAUCUGGCGUAAUGGCCGGAGUGCUCGCAAGAGAACGCAGUGACAGGUGCUGCAUGGCUGUCGUCAGCUCGUGUUGUGAAAUGUUGGGUUAAGUCUCGCAACGAGCGCAACCCCUAUCCUUAGUUGCCAGCAUUUAGUUGGGCACUCUAGGGAGACUGCCUGGGCAACCAGGAGGAAGGUGGGGGAUGACGUCAAGUCCUCAUGGCCCUUAUGUCUAGGGCUACACACGUAAUACAAUGGUGCAUACAAAGGGAAGCGACCCAGUGAUGGUGAGCAAAUCUCAAAAAGUGCAU